RNAcentral lists this transfer RNA (71 nucleotides) under Candidatus Wildermuthbacteria bacterium. Its description in RNAcentral is "tRNA-Trp". It matches the Rfam family "tRNA". Rfam says of the family: Transfer RNA (tRNA) molecules are approximately 80 nucleotides in length. Their secondary structure includes four short double-helical elements and three loops (D, anti-codon, and T loops). Lineage: Bacteria; Candidatus Wildermuthiibacteriota. The record is from RNAcentral.
GGGGAUGUAGGCUAAUGGUAAACUCCUUCUCUCCAAAAGAAGGGUUCUUGGUUCAAGUCCAGGCAUCCCCG